GAUGAGGAACGUAGCGAAAUGCGAUAAGUAAUGUGAAUUGCAGAAUUCAGUGAAUCAUCGAAUCUUUGAACGCACCUUGCGCCCCUUGGCAUUCCGAGGGGCACGCCUGUUUGAGUGUCGUGAACUCCUCCACCCUCCACCUUUUUCGAAAGGCGUUGGGCUGGGAUUUGGGAGCUUGCGGGUCCCUGGCCGAUCCGCUCUCCUUGAAUACAUUAGCGAAGCCCUUGCGGCCUUGGUGUGAUAGUCAUCUACGCCUCGGUUUAGCGAACAUACGGGAAUCGCUUCCAACCGUCUCGCAAGAGACAAUCACUUCAAACUUGACCUCAAAUCAGGCGGGACUACCCGCUGAACUUAAGCAUAUCAAUAAGCGGAGGA
This 375-nucleotide unclassified non-coding RNA is filed under the name soil metagenome. RNAcentral's name for it is "partial contains 5.8S ribosomal RNA, internal transcribed spacer 2, and large subunit ribosomal RNA". The stretch from base 1 to 120 matches the Rfam family "5.8S ribosomal RNA", at positions 35 to 154 of the family's 154-position model. The record is from RNAcentral.